This is a non-coding RNA of Biomphalaria pfeifferi, 406 nucleotides long. Lineage: Eukaryota; Metazoa; Mollusca; Gastropoda; Planorbidae. The record is from the annotation of a GenBank genome assembly.
CAACUAUUGAAAUCUUUUAUUUCUGUACCUCCAGUGAUAGAGCUACAACACAAUCAUUCAUUUUUGAAAAAAUGUUUUAAAUUCUGACAAUUUCAUUGCAAAGACUAAGGAAGCUAUCUAGUGUCUAAACAAAAGUUUUAAACUGUGAGUCCUUCAAAACAAUCAAAUGUACAAAAAUUAAAGAACAUGGCAUAUAUAUAUUGUUAAAAGCAAAUCAUUAACUAGAAACAUUUGGAUAAACCUAAAGAGAAUCUAUCAAUGUCUUGUGUGCAGCUUUGAGCAGAGUACAACACACACUAGACCUAAAGCUCUAUUUAUUAAAUAUUUGUUUAAUACUUACAUAUUAAAAAAAACAACUUAUAUCACCUUGUCAGGUGAAGGAACGUUGACCAUAUGGGGGGGGGGG